RNAcentral lists this long non-coding RNA (242 nucleotides) under Elaeis guineensis (African oil palm). Its description in RNAcentral is "long non-coding RNA (EGUI_LNC037871)". The record is from RNAcentral. Lineage: Eukaryota; Viridiplantae; Streptophyta; Magnoliopsida; Arecales; Arecaceae.
ACCUGCAGCUUUCUUUCGGGGUCUCUCACUAUGGUGAGAUAUAUAUAUUUUUUUUAUAUCAUAGAGAAUGGAGAAUCACGAGUCCGUUCUCCCUCUCUCCCAUGCUCAUCUCUGCCACUGAUCGAACCUAUCAUCGGAACCUCUCUGCUCUUUGCGCCCUCUAGUGACCCCAACGGCCCCUUCCCCUUCUCUUCUUCUACCGCCGCGAUAUCCAAGUGCCACCGCGAUAUCCAAGUGCCACU